Molecule: ribosomal RNA, 468 nt
Filed under: uncultured bacterium
Lineage: Bacteria
Description: partial 16S ribosomal RNA
Rfam family: Bacterial small subunit ribosomal RNA
Source: RNAcentral
GACGAACGCUGGCGGCGUGCUUAACACAUGCAAGUCGAACGGAAAGGCCCUGCUUUUGUGGGGUGCUCGAGUGGCUAACGGGUGAGUAACACGUGAGUAACCUGCCCUUUACUUUGGGAUAACUUCAGUAAACUGGGGCUAAUACCGGAUAGUAGCUCCUGCUGCAUGGUGGGGGUUGGAAAGUUUCGGCGGUUGGGGAUGGACUCGCGGCUUAUCAGCUUGUUGGUGGGGUAGUGGCUUACCAAGGCUUUGACGGGUAGCCGGCCUGAGAGGGUGACCGGCCACAUUGGGAAUGAGAUACGGCCCAGACUCCUACGGGAGGCAGCAGUGGGGAAUAUUGCACAAUGGGCGGAAGCCUGAUGCAGCAACGCCGCGUGCGGGAUGACGGCCUUCGGGUUGUAAACCGCUUUCGCCUGUGACGAAGCGUGAGUGACGGUAAUGGGUAAAGAAGCACCGGCUAACUACGUG